This 589-nucleotide ribosomal RNA is filed under the name Trichoderma sp. P163_D3_22. RNAcentral describes it as "eukaryotic LSU rRNA". The stretch from base 216 to 369 matches the Rfam family "5.8S ribosomal RNA". Lineage: Eukaryota; Fungi; Ascomycota; Sordariomycetes; Hypocreales; Hypocreaceae. The record is from RNAcentral.
GUCUCGUUGGUGACCAGCGGAGGGAUCAUUACCGAGUUUACAACUCCCAAACCCAAUGUGAACCAUACCAAACUGUUGCCUCGGCGGGGUCACGCCCCGGGUGCGUCGCAGCCCCGGAACCAGGCGCCCGCCGGAGGGACCAACCAAACUCUUUCUGUAGUCCCCUCGCGGACGUUAUUUCUUACAGCUCUGAGCAAAAAUUCAAAAUGAAUCAAAACUUUCAACAACGGAUCUCUUGGUUCUGGCAUCGAUGAAGAACGCAGCGAAAUGCGAUAAGUAAUGUGAAUUGCAGAAUUCAGUGAAUCAUCGAAUCUUUGAACGCACAUUGCGCCCGCCAGUAUUCUGGCGGGCAUGCCUGUCCGAGCGUCAUUUCAACCCUCGAACCCCUCCGGGGGGUCGGCGUUGGGGAUCGGGAACCCCUAAGACGGGAUCCCGGCCCCGAAAUACAGUGGCGGUCUCGCCGCAGCCUCUCAUGCGCAGUAGUUUGCACAACUCGCACCGGGAGCGCGGCGCGUCCACGUCCGUAAAACACCCAACUUCUGAAAUGUUGACCUCGGAUCAGGUAGGAAUACCCGCUGAACUUAAGCAU